RNAcentral lists this transfer RNA (72 nucleotides) under Penicillium citrinum. RNAcentral describes it as "tRNA-Pro". Lineage: Eukaryota; Fungi; Ascomycota; Eurotiomycetes; Eurotiales; Aspergillaceae. The record is from RNAcentral.
UCCAACCCAAAUGAAGCGACCAACCACCGGAUCCAACCCAAAUGAAGCGACCAACCACCGGACACUAACCUG